GAUGUCUGGGGCUGCUUGGCGUGGGACUCCUCUGGCGCUGGUGCGGUCGUCGCGCAUGCGCGGGGGUGGGCAAGGCAGUGGUCAGCGACCCGCAGUCCAUCUGACUCCUGCUUCCCGGGUGUUGCUCGUGACAAGGAAGAUGGGGAGCCAAAGACCAAGCAUCUCAGAGAAGAGGAGGAAGAAGGCGAGAAGCACAGGGAACUUAGGCUGCGGAACUAUGUCCCGGAGGAUGAGGACCUGAAGAAGAGGAGGGUGCCCCAGGCCAAACCGGUUGCAGUGGAGGAGAAGGUGAAGGAGCAGCUGGAGGCCGCCAAGCCCGAGCCCGUCAUCGAGGAGGUGGACCUGGCCAACCUUGCUCCUCGGAAGCCUGACUGGUGAGUGUUGCCCGUGCAUGGCGGGUGCAGGCUGACUCGGGGACUCUUGGUGCCAGCAUGGGCCUGGGGCUUGGCCCUUCUUGCCAUCACAGUGCAGAGACUGGCAGUACAGACAUAGAGUUACACGAGAUAGCUACUGUUGGAAACCAGUGCUGAGGAGGACAUAAGUGGUGGGAUGAGAGGGGA
Molecule: small RNA, 560 nt
Filed under: Pan troglodytes (chimpanzee)
Lineage: Eukaryota; Metazoa; Chordata; Mammalia; Primates; Hominidae
Description: retained intron
Source: RNAcentral